RNAcentral lists this transfer RNA (79 nucleotides) under Morchella angusticeps. Its description in RNAcentral is "tRNA-Gly". It matches the Rfam family "tRNA". From Rfam's summary of the family: Transfer RNA (tRNA) molecules are approximately 80 nucleotides in length. Their secondary structure includes four short double-helical elements and three loops (D, anti-codon, and T loops). Lineage: Eukaryota; Fungi; Ascomycota; Pezizomycetes; Pezizales; Morchellaceae. The record is from RNAcentral. RNAcentral also lists the same sequence under 6 other names.
GAUUCAGUGGUGUAGUGGUAUCACGGGCGCUUGCCAAACAAGUUUGCGCCCGACCCGGGUUCGAUUCCCGGCUGAUUCA